This 1466-nucleotide ribosomal RNA is filed under the name uncultured Bordetella sp. RNAcentral describes it as "partial 16S-23S ribosomal RNA intergenic spacer". It matches the Rfam family "Bacterial small subunit ribosomal RNA". The record is from RNAcentral. Lineage: Bacteria; Pseudomonadati; Pseudomonadota; Betaproteobacteria; Burkholderiales; Alcaligenaceae.
GGUUCGAUUAUGGCUCAGAUUGAACGCUGGCGGGAUGCUUUACACAUGCAAGUCGAACGGCAGCACGGACUUCGGUCUGGUGGCGAGUGGCGAACGGGUGAGUAAUGUAUCGGAACGUGCCUAGUAGCGGGGAUAACUACGCGAAAGCGUAGCUAAUACCGCAUACCGCCCUUCGGGGGAAAGCGGGGACCUUCGGGCCUCGCACUAUUAGAGCGGCUGAUAUCGGAUUAGCUAGUUGGUGGGGUAACGGCUCACCAAGGCGACGAUCCGUAGCUGGUUUGAGAGGACGACCAGCCACACUGGGACUGAGACAUGGCCCGUGCAGUGGGGAAUUUUGGACAAUGGGGAAAACCCUGAUCCAGCCAUCCCGCGUGCGAUGAAGGCCUUCGGGUUGUAAAGCACUUGGCAGGAAGGAAACGGCACGGAUAAUACACCGUGCAACUGACGGUACCUGCAGAAUAAGCACCGGCUAACCACGCCAGCAGCCGCGGUAAUACGUAGGGUGCAAGCGUUAAUCGGAAUUACUGGGCGUAAAGCGCGCAGGCGGUUCGGAAAGAAAGAUGUGAAAUCCCAGAGCUUAACUUUGGAACUGCAUUUUUAACUACCGAGCUAGAGUGUGUCAGAGGGAGGUGGAAUUCCGCGUGUAGCAGUGAAAUGCGUAGAUAUGCGGAGGAACACCGAUGGCGAAGGCAGCCUCCUGGGAUAACACUGACGCUCUCAUGCACGAAAGCGUGGGGAGCAAACAGGAUUAGAUACCCUGGUAGUCCAGUACGCCCCAAACGAUGUCAACUAGCUGUUGGGGCCUUCUGGCCUUGGUAGCGCAGCUAACGCGUGAAGUUGACCGCCUGGGGAGUACGGUCGCAAGAUUAAAACUCAAAGGAAUUGACGGGACCCGCACAAGCGGGUGGAUGAUGUGGAUUAAUUCGAUGCAACGCGAAAAACCUUACCUUACCCUUGACAUGUCUGGAAUCCCGAAGAGAUUUGGGGAGUGCUCGCAAGAGAACCGGAACACAGGUGCUGCAUGGCUGUCGUCAGCUCGUGUCGUGAGAUGUUGGGUUAAGUCCCGCAACGAGCGCAACCCUUGUCAUUAGUUGCUACGAAAGGGCACUCUACUGAGACUGCCGGUGACAAACCGGAGGAAGGUGGGGAUGACGUCAAGUCCUCAUGGCCCUUAUGGGUAGGGCUUCCACACGUCAUACAAUGGUCGGGACAGAGGGCUCGCCAACCCGCGAGGGGGGAGCCAAUCCCAGAAACCCGAUCGUAGUCCGGAUCGCAGUUCGCAACUCGACUGCGUGAAGUCGAAUCGCUAGUAAUCGCGGAUCAGCAUGUCGCGGUGAAUACGUUCCCGGGUCUUGUACACACCGCCCGUCACACCAUGGGAGUGGGUUUUACCAGAAGUAGUUAGCCUAACCGUAAGGGGAGGGCGACGUAGGAUUCAUGACUGGGGUGAAGUCGUAACAAGGUAA